Molecule: RNA transcript, 1794 nt
Organism: Canis lupus familiaris (dog)
Lineage: Eukaryota; Metazoa; Chordata; Mammalia; Carnivora; Canidae
Gene: ATPSCKMT
Gene name: ATP synthase c subunit lysine N-methyltransferase
Exons: 8
Source: RefSeq, a predicted model, not a curated record
UGACGGCUUCUAGGUAGUGCGUCCCAACGAGGAACUCGUCUACUUACUGCGUUACUUUCUCCCUCCGUCCCACCCCGGCUCCGAGCAGGUGGUAGAACCCACUUCCGGAUUUCCGCCCUUCCCUCCUCCCGCGCACUCCCCCCUCGGGACGCAAGACGCAGGAAAUCUCGCGAUGGCGAGAGGAGGCGGUACAUCCCCUGAAAUACUUGAAGAAACUCAGUUGGGAUGUGUUCUACCUACAAGUCUUGGCACCAACAGUUUGAAGAAAAGCAGUUGGGGAGUUUUAAUUACUGGGAUCGUUGGUGGGACGCUGGUGGCGGUGUAUGCUGUGGCCACACCAUUUCUAACACCAGCCCUCCGAAAAAUUUGUUUGCCUUUUGUACCUGCAACUACAAAGCAGAUUGCAAAUGUUGUGAAAAUGCUGCACUGCAGAAGAGGAUCCCUGGUUGACAUUGGUAGUGGCGACGGGCGUAUUGUGAUAGCAGCUGCCAAAGAAGGAUUCACAGCUGUUGGUUAUGAAUUAAACCCAUGGCUAGUUUGGUACUCCAGAUACCGUGCUUGGCGAGAAGGGGUUCAGGACUCUGCCAAAUUUUAUAUAUCAGAUUUGUGGAAGGUUACUUUUUCACAGUACUCAAACGUCGUUAUUUUUGGUGUGCCUCAGAUGGUGUGAUAUGCCCUGUAUACUCUCCAGGAAGGCAGCCACCAGAUUGUUCCAGAUUCCAAGCAAUCGAGAUAAGGAAAAGCCUAUUUUAAUCUAUUUUGAUUCAGUUGACAUUUCAAUACAUGAACGCACAAUGAGAGGGUCACUCUGCAGGAAUGUCUUUGCUUGUUUUGUGAAAAUGUACUUCCUCUCCAACAAGUUUUGCCAAGAAGUUAAUCUUCAUGUCAAGAAAUACUGUUGGGUGAAUGAAAAAAUCUGACGUCCUGUCCUCUGGGAGGGCACUUCAGCAACACUCUUCCCAAAUACUUGAAGCCGAGCCAGACUAUUAUUAGAACAAACAAUUGAUUAAUUUUUGCAACAUUCAUAACAGAAAACUUGUAUGUUAAAUGUGUCUUCUUUCUAAUGAAGUUGGAGUGCUGGGUACCAGAGCAGCAGGACUCAUUAGACGCGCUUUUAGUAGCAGCAUUUCCAGGGAGGAACAAACAGGUUAAUUAAAAGCAAAUCUUAUAAAAGAUUCUUGUAUCUGAGAAACUGACCCAUCAUGGACAAAAUUUCAAGACCAAGGAGAAAGAAUGCCAUCUGGAAUUAAAGGAAGCAUGGCCCAGGCUCCAGCCGUGAGUGAGUGCAGCAGGAAUGUCAGCUGAAGCUGCUUCUGCUGACAGCCAUAAUCAUGCCUGAUCCACCAGUCAGUUCUCAGAAUUUGAAAGGAAAAUGACACUAUUUUGGGAUUAUGAGAAGGCCAAUGGAAAUCUGAUGGUACCACAGGUAGUAGCUCUUCUUUACUGAUCCAUCCCAGGGCAUUCUGCUAGAAGCAGUUGCUGGGAUAUAGUUCAUUUCACAUAUCUGAUUCUAAUGGAAUGCAAACAAACUUGUUAUAAUUACUUUCCCCUUUUAAGUGGUUAAUACAAUAUCUGUGUAUGGUUAAAAAAUCAUUUAAAAAUACAGCAUUUUAAUAAUGGGAGAAUGGGCAAAAUGAGUGAAGGAGAGUGAGAGAUCCAGGCUUCUAGUUAUGGAAUGAAUGAGUCACAGUACAAUUGAGGAAGUAUAGUCAGUGCUAUUGUCAUAGUGUUGUAUGGUCACAGGUGGUAGCUACACUUGCAGGAAAUAGAGCGUAACACAAGAAAAUAAAAAAA